AGAAAAGGUCAGCAUCAUAACCAUAUCACGCAUCAAAGAUCCAAGAAAGGAGUUUUGCUAGUAUAAAGUUGGGGAUUUGGUGAAAGCCAGCUGCCAUGGCUUUUCUGGCGUGCAUCCCGCCAAGAUCUUAGAUGAUGGAGCUGAUGCCUGGUAGUGGGAUCUACAUUUAUCCCAAAGAUAUACAAGCUUUAUAUAAGCCAAAAAAAAAAACAAGUGCAACUUUUCAGGAGGGGGAACCUAACUGGUGCAAAUGAAAAGACCAUUUUAAACACUAUUCUUGGUAAGAGAUUAUAAUCUAAUUAAUAAAUUCUUUAUAUAACACUAAUAACAAAUUGUUUAACUUCGAAUAAGAAUAAUCAGUCGCCCACAUUUCUUUCAAUUUGUGAAGAUGUAUUUAAAAGGUGAAAACAAAAAAACUUGUAAUUUCUGACAUCCAUCUUUUAAAUUGGAGAAUCAAUGACAGUUAGUUACUAGAGUAUUUUCUUUUUUAUUUAAAGACGAUGCCGGGAUUCAGAGGCCAUUGUCAAGUUUUCGAUGAGGACCAAGAUUAGUUCCCAAGUCAGCCUCCAGAACAUGAAACAGACCUAGCUUUUAUACAUUCAGUAAUGUGAUAUAUAUAUAUAUAUAUAUAUACAGUGGAACCCCGUUAUUACGUUUUCCAUUUUGUCACGAUAAAAUAACGUAAUAACGGGGGCAACGUAAUAAACGUUCCCAGUGAAAUCCAUUAAAAAUAUCAUUUGGAAAUUGUAUAUCGUCCGUUGGUACUCCGUGAAGGGGUGUGUGAAUAUAUGUUUACUGUUUCUUUGUUUAAAAGACUAUGAUACUUUGUUUUAUUUACAUCUUAUCUUUAAUGUCCGUAAUUCUUCAUGUUCUUAUCCCUUUUCUUUAUUUCUGGUGUAGGAUUCAUAAGGAUGUUUUGAUAAACGUUGCUUUUCUGCAUUCGUUUGGACCGCCAUUUUGUUCAACUUUAAAACAAUGCGUUCAUGUAACUUUCUCUCAAUAACUCGUUCCGGUUCGUAUUCAACAUUCGUAUUAAAAAAAAAUAACAAAACAUUGUUUUUAUUAAGUUCGUGAAUUACACAAUACACAACGCAAUAAAAAAAAAUCCCAUCCAAAAAACAACAAAACUAUAGACACAAAACGCACACGAUACCCAACACUUACACACUUUUCUCACCAAUGAUAAACACGGAGAACAAUUUAAGCGCAAUCCACAUAAAAAAAAUAUAAUGAUGCACGAAGAUUUCAUUUACAACGCUAAAUGAUGGCACUAAAAUCACGUGCGCAUCAGGGGAUUUUAGAAUAUUCACAGAGGUAAAUGCCAUGCACGAAUCGGCCGAUAACACAAGACAGUUUGGUCGGUGUAUGUAUGGACGAGAUUUACGAACACCUAAGCUGCAUGUCCAAACAACGGACAAUUUUUUAAUUGAACACUUCCUUUAGUCACCUAUGUCCAAGAAGUUACCCAAGCGGUUUUAACAUUGCUACGAUAAAUCUUGUCUUUCAUGUUUGGUACCAAAGCUGUCCGUAAAUAGAGUUUUAAUAGCGAAGGUAAUCACACAAUGCUGAACACGCAGGUAGUUGAGAAAUUAUUUCUUUGAUUAUCAAAAUAUGAAAAAUGAAGUAACUUUCAUAGAGUACAAUUUCUAAAUAAACAUUAUUUAAUUGUUUAUCACUGGCUUCGAUACGGGGUAUUCACCUGUAUUGAUGUCGCUAGAUCUAUCGAAGCGUGAUCAGUCAAGCGUCUCUAAUCCCCAAACAGACCAGGAAAUUUACGUGGUGACUGCCUCAGGCAGUCAAGGUGUGAAUGGCUUAUUAUUUUGAGAAUCACUAUUGAAUAAAUAGGGGUUUAUUACGUUUUCGUCGGAAUUUUUACAACGUAAUACCGAGUCCCGGCA
Molecule: long non-coding RNA, 1898 nt
Organism: Ostrea edulis (European flat oyster)
Lineage: Eukaryota; Metazoa; Mollusca; Bivalvia; Ostreida; Ostreidae
Exons: 2
Source: RefSeq, a predicted model, not a curated record